Long non-coding RNA from Melanotaenia boesemani (Boeseman's rainbowfish), 1555 nucleotides. RefSeq lists it as uncharacterized. Lineage: Eukaryota; Metazoa; Chordata; Actinopteri; Atheriniformes; Melanotaeniidae. The transcript is spliced from 2 exons. The record is from RefSeq and is a predicted model, not a curated record.
GGAGGCAGCAGAGCUUGCUUCGCCUGCUGUCCAUUGAUCAGUGGAGAGGUUGGUAGACUUUAAAGAUCAGUGUAGAAACUGGUGGAGAGCAGAGACAAGGGGAUGGAUAGAAGAGGAGGAUGCUGGGGUUCUGCAGAGGAGGGAGAAAAGAAAGACAGAAAGAUGCAAAUUGAGUGAGGAAACAGAUGAGGGCAAGAAUUAAAGAGGCAGAUCACAGCAGCUGGGGUUGUCCUGGGUUUUUACAGUCUGGAUACAGCUUGCCGAACAACUAUCAGACAAAGCGAAGACAACUCUUCAUGGGGAGUGAAGGAAACAUCUUCCAGAGUCCAUUUGCAGCAGUCAAAAUGGACGCCGCCGGCUAAGCUGUUGGUCAUUUUGUUUUCAGCUUUGAAGCACAGAGACUUUUUAGCCCUGGGAGGCAAAGAGGGAGACAAGGAGGGAAAUUAACUAUGACUUUAAUAUUUAAUGUGUCAACAAGGUCAAAACUUCUAAAGCCAUUUUAUUAAGCUAAAUGCUAAUAUUAGCAUGCUAAUGGAAGCAAUGCUAUCAGUUGGUAUUGUUCUGUUUUUAAGAUAAUUUUCUCCUUCGUCGUACAAAUUGUAAAAUAAAAGAGCUAGUUCAAGUUGGAUUAAUACUUUGAGGACCACAAAUGUCCCCCAAUUUAUUUUGUGGUCCUUUGGUUCUCACAGUGCCAAACUGAAAGCAUAGCACUCUGUCAAGUUUCGGCCCCAAAAACAUACAAAAUCUAUUCAUAGUAGCUCUGUCACAUAGGAGCACACAUGGUGGAGUUUUCUGUUAGCACCAUCAACCAUAGUCUCACCUGGGAUGUGACAGGAAGUGUGAAAAUGGUCUAAUAAGUCCUGCAGAGCUGGUGUCUUACACAUAAAAUUGUAUCCAGCAAACAACUUUCUCCACAUAUGUUGCAAAGGAAAUUGACUGUUUACAAGUGGAAAUAGAUGUCUGGACAUUGUUUCCUGUUUCACUAUACAUUUCAACAAAGGCUAGUUUUUUUUGUGAUAUGAAAAAAGGAAAUCUGUAUUUAAAGUUGUCAUAUCUGCAAGGUUUCUCACAUCCUUACCUGUACUCUAUCAGCGGUGGACUCGGCAUGGAGUCCUUUUUCUCCUCAUUAUUUCGGGUGCCCAGCAGUUGCUCAGUAGUCAGUGUAGAUCCUGUGGGGCUGGCAGCAGCUACAUCUGGCUACUGGGUCUCUGUCGACACCUUCAAGUCAGAUAUGCAAGUGUUUCCUAAUGUUCAUGUCCUUUCUGAUGCAGCGUUUCUAUGAGGUUUGCAUCUUUAAUGCUCACCUGAUGUAAAAAAAAAGCCUAAAACUGGAUUAGUUCUGAACCUGGCAUACAGUGUAGGAUUCUGUGUGUGUCAGUCUACAGCUACAUUGUCUGCUGGGUUUCAGACCUAUACUCCAAUUCUGUUAACUUCCAUCCAUGCAAAGGUGUUUUGUAGUGUUUAAGAAAAUGGAAAAAAAAAAAGGAUAAUUUGACAACUUUGUGUUUAUUGACUCAUAAAACAUUCUUCAAACAAUAAAACAAUUUUAAAUGUC